UUGUGUUCCAGGAUUUUCCGUACAGAUCAGUGUUGGUUGAUACAGAAAAGAUUAGCAUGGUCUCUGUGCAAGGAUGAUAUGUAAAUUCAAAAAAGCAUUCCAUAUAUUC
Molecule: non-coding RNA, 109 nt
Organism: Ictidomys tridecemlineatus (thirteen-lined ground squirrel)
Lineage: Eukaryota; Metazoa; Chordata; Mammalia; Rodentia; Sciuridae
Source: Rfam